This is a long non-coding RNA of Drosophila arizonae, 1364 nucleotides long. NCBI's taxonomy places the organism in Eukaryota, Metazoa, Arthropoda, Insecta, Diptera, Drosophilidae. The record is from RefSeq and is a predicted model, not a curated record.
GCUACGUUGUUUUAUUCGUUUUGUUUACAUCCGAGCUACACAUUGACAUUCAACUUCCAUAUACAUAUUUUAUUUAUUUUUGGCAGACAACGUGCGUUUAAAUGUUACGUUCUAUGUUGCGCAUUUAGCGUUGUCCCAAGUGUUGCGUAUUUUGAGUUUGCAUUUGCUCACGUCUUUAAUGACAGUUUAAUAUACAUAAUUAUGAAAUCAGCUGGAAACAACACAUUGCGGUUUCAUCGUGAACUACGUCACGCACUUUAUGUAGAACUAAAUUACAUUUCUAGUGCCCUUGUGCCAAGGAUUUGAUUAUGUGCGUGAGUCACUGCAACAAUGCAUGUUUUUGAUUCACACUCUCUAUUCCGAGCAAAACAAACACGAAAAAAUACCGUUACAUUAUAAGUAGUUGCGAGAGGGUGUGUGUGCUUUUGGGUGGGGUACAUGUGUGUAUACAUACACAUACACGCAAACAUGUCCAUGCAUUGCGAAGCUCUGUAGAAUUCCUUUGCCUGAGCAGCACAUAUCUUUGUGUGUGUGAGUGUGCCGCCGCUCUUGCAAACACAGUUGGCGAGCCUAGAGUCAAUGAUGGAACAUACAAGGAAAUUGCAAAAACUCAUUUGCCAAUAAAUAAAUAAACCGGGAAAACUGCAAACCAAAUCAGUUUAAAUUGAUUGUAACAAAUACAUAGUGCUCGUUCGUGGGGCAACAGGCUACGUGUUGAGGUGGACGUGAUACAUGGCUGCACAAAACGGCUGAAGUGCCUGUCCUCCUCGUCACAUCUCUGACAACAACAAGUGAUAAAUAAACGCUGUCCAACUUGCAACUGUAAAUAACAUGUGUAUGAAUGAGUGUACAGCCGCAUUACGGCAAAACGGAAAACGCCCAGGGCGAUAGUCAUAAAGUGUUGCAUAUGACGAAAAAGGCUCCACCGUAGGAAAAGCAACAACAACAACGACAAUAGCAGCAGCAACAGACAGUGUUGCCAAGUGUCGCAAAGUGUAACAAUAAGUCGAAUAAAAACGUAACGUCCUUGGUAACGGCAAACGUCAAAACUGGAGCAGGCAUAAAAAGAACAAUAGGAAGAGACAAAAAGGACGGCAAAGACGCGCACGGCGCAUACAGCGUGAAAAAGCAAGGUGUGCUAAAAAAUAUGGUGCUUGCAGGUGACAAUGGUCACAGACGCAAUUGACAGUUGAAUGGGUUAGAUACCCAACGCCGAGAGCGCUACUGAGACAGGGCGAAGAUAGAGAGAGAGAAAGAGCUUGAAUACAACAGAAAGAGAGUGUGAAGACGCGCGCGUGAGAGCCAGCCGUUGAGAGUGCGAGAACGGAGCAGUGCAGCAGCAGCACCAACAUCGCCCACAACAG